This 446-nucleotide ribosomal RNA is filed under the name uncultured bacterium. Its description in RNAcentral is "partial 16S ribosomal RNA". It matches the Rfam family "Bacterial small subunit ribosomal RNA", at positions 338 to 795 of the family's 1533-position model. The record is from RNAcentral.
CCUACGGGCGGCAGCAGUCGAGAAUCAUUCACAAUGGGGGAAACCCUGAUGGGGCGACGCCGCGUGGGGGAAUGAAGGUCUGCGGAUUGUAAACCCCUGUCAUGUGGGAGCAAAUUAAAAAGAUAGUACCACAAGAGGAAGAGACGGCUAACUCUGGGCCAGCAGCCGCGGUAAUACAGAGGUCUCAAGCGUUGUUCGGAAUCACUGGGCGUAAAGCGUGCGUAGGCUGUUUCGUAAGGCGUGUGUGAAAGGCGCGGGCUCAACCCGCGGACGGCACAUGAUACUGCGAGACUAGAGUAAUGGAGGGGGAACCGGAAUUCUCGGUGUAGCGGUGAAAUGCGUAGAUAUCGAGAGGAACACUCGUGGCGAAGGCGGGUUCCUGGACAUUAACUGACGCUGAGGCACGAAAGCCAGGGGAGCGAAAAGGAUUAGAUACCCCAGUAGUC